GAGAAAAAGGAGAGAAAGUUCUUGGUUCAUAAAUCUUCAAAGCUUGAUUUCUUCUGAACUAAAACUCAAAUCAAAACACCGAUUUCACCAAAAUUAUCCUCUCUUCUUCCUCUACAUAACCAUGUGAAUUAUCAAGGCUGGAAAUAAGGAGGAAAAAGUGCUUAAGGACCACCUGAAAGUUUGAUUGAAUUAGGAGCAGCAAAACCAGCUUUCAAGAACCGGCAAUUCCUUAAAUAUGCGGUGAAGGAUAAACUGAUGGAGGUGUAAAACACAUAAAAGAGAUGACCUUCCUUGCACAGCUUAACCUGUCCCAGAAUUACAACUUGACGGAUAAAACUUUGGAAUUGCUAUCUGGGAUGAAUGCAUUGAGGUCACUUAAUAUUUCAAAUACAGGAGCUACCAGUGAAAAUGCUACCGUUUCUUCUUUAAGUCCAAGAGUUUUGAGAAUUAGGAUGCUGUUUACUUUGAUUUCUGUCAUUGGAAGAUCAGUAAAAGCCACAGCCACCUUUUGGCCACAAUAGACAUAGUCCAAUUAGUAAAAUAGUCCAGGUGUUUAUUUUAGUAAGACGGAUUGAGAGCUCAAUAACAAGUUGCAUAGGG
Arachis stenosperma is the source of this 600-nucleotide long non-coding RNA. RefSeq lists it as uncharacterized. The record is from RefSeq and is a predicted model, not a curated record. The transcript has 4 exons. Lineage: Eukaryota; Viridiplantae; Streptophyta; Magnoliopsida; Fabales; Fabaceae.